This 447-nucleotide ribosomal RNA is filed under the name uncultured bacterium. Its description in RNAcentral is "partial 16S ribosomal RNA". It matches the Rfam family "Bacterial small subunit ribosomal RNA", at positions 338 to 795 of the family's 1533-position model. The record is from RNAcentral.
CCUACGGGUGGCUGCAGUCGGGAAUUUUGGGCAAUGGGGGAAACCCUGACCCAGCAACGCCGCGUGAGCGAUGAAGGCCUUCGGGUCGUAAAGCUCUGUCGGGAGGGAAGAAGGCUCUCGGAGUGAAUAAUUCCGGGGGAUUGACGGUACCUCUAGAGGAAGCGCCGGCUAACUCCGUGCCAGCAGCCGCGGUAAUACGGAGGGCGCAAGCGUUGUUCGGAAUCACUGGGCUUGAUACGUCGGUAGUGAGAGCCCGGGGCCUCACCCCGGAACUGCACUCGAAACUGCCUCGCUCGAGUCCCGGAGAGGAUGGUGGAAUUCCCGGUGUAGUGGUGAAAUACGUAGAUAUCGGGAGGAACACCAGCGGCGAAGGCGGCCAUCUGGACGGUGACUGACGCUGAGACGCGAAAGCGUGGGGAGCAAACAGGAUUAGAUACCCUAGUAGUC